UUGCUUCAGCAGCACAUAUACUAAAAUUGGAAUGAUACAGAGACAAUUAGCAUGGCUCCUGCACAAGGAUGGGACACAAAUUCACGAAGUGUUACAUAUUUUU
Equus caballus (horse) is the source of this 103-nucleotide small nuclear RNA. NCBI's taxonomy places the organism in Eukaryota, Metazoa, Chordata, Mammalia, Perissodactyla, Equidae. The record is from Ensembl.